ACUGAUCACAACGGUACCAGAACUCGGUACGGGAGACAGCAGUAGGCCAAUCUUCUCGCAAAUGGCCGAAACUCUGAUCGGAGCAUACGCCCGGCGUGAGUGCCUGAAUGGUUUUCGCGAUCGUAAAGGUCUGUUGUUAGGGAAGGACAAGUGCCCGUUCAAACAGGCGCGGUCAUCUUGACUGUAACUAGCCAGAAAGGCACGGAUAACUACGUGCCAGCAGCCGCGGUUAUACGUGGGUGGCAAUCGUUGUCCGGAAUUAUUGGGCGUAAAGGGCUCGCAGGCGGUUUCUUAAGUCUGAUGUGAAAGCCCCCGGCUCAACCGGGGAGGGUCAUUGGAAACUGGGGAACUUGAGUGCAGAAGAGGAGAGUGGAAUUCCACGUGUAGCGGUGAAAUGCGUAGAGAUGUGGAGGAACACCAGUGGCGAAGGCGACUCUCUGGUCUGUAACUGACGCUGAGGAGCGAAAGCGUGGGGAGCGAACAGGAUUAGAUACCCUGGUAGUCCACGCCGUAAACGAUGAGUGCUAAGUGUUAGGGGGUUUCCGCCCCUUAGUGCUGCAGCUAACGCAUUAAGCACUCCGCCUGGGGAGUACGGUCGCAAGACUGAAACUCAAAGGAAUUGACGGGGGCCCGCACAAGCGGUGGAGCAUGUGGUUUAAUUCGAAGCAACGCGAAGAACCUUACCAGGUCUUGACAUCCUCUGACAAUCCUAGAGAUAGGACGUCCCCUUCGGGGGCAGAGUGACAGGUGGUGCAUGGUUGUCGUCAGCUCGUGUCGUGAGAUGUUGGGUUAAGUCCCGUAACGAGCGCAACCCUUGAUCUUACUUGCCAGCAUUCAGUUGGGCACUCUAAGGUGACUGCCGGUGACAAACCGGAAGAAGGUGGGGAUGACUUCAAAUCAUCAUGCCCCUUAUGACCUGUGCUACACACGUGCUACAAUGGACGGAACAAAGGGCAGCG
RNAcentral lists this ribosomal RNA (959 nucleotides) under bacterium. Its description in RNAcentral is "bacterial SSU rRNA". It matches the Rfam family "Bacterial small subunit ribosomal RNA", at positions 303 to 1251 of the family's 1533-position model. The record is from RNAcentral.